UCCUGUAUGACAUCAGGUGUGAGGCAGGUAAAUAUGCAAUUUUUACCUGCCUCACACCUGAUGUCAUAUAGGG
Podarcis lilfordi (Lilford's wall lizard) is the source of this 73-nucleotide non-coding RNA. Lineage: Eukaryota; Metazoa; Chordata; Lepidosauria; Squamata; Lacertidae. The record is from the annotation of a GenBank genome assembly.